CCCAUCCUGGAGAUGCGGGAAGGGGCGUGUCCUCCAUGUGGUGGCUAGAGAUUUAAUCACUGUCUUGGCCUGUGAGGACCAGAGAUGUAGUGGGUGGAAGGAUCAUGGAUCUCUGAGGUUUUUGAAGAUCAGAAUGACCACACUGGCUCCGAAAUUUCACAAGAGGUAGAAAUGCCUUUCUUAUACCACGGUUACUGUGGUAUUCUCCAACCUCAUCUAAUGCAAGACCAAUCAGAGGACCUGACCACCCUAGGUGCCAAUUCC
RNAcentral lists this long non-coding RNA (264 nucleotides) under Microcebus murinus (gray mouse lemur). Its description in RNAcentral is "lncRNA (ENSMICG00000048687.1)". Lineage: Eukaryota; Metazoa; Chordata; Mammalia; Primates; Cheirogaleidae. The record is from RNAcentral.